AUCAUAAAGAGGAAACGUAGUGUAAAAAUAUAAACUAUUUUUUGUUAUUAAGUUAACACCAUAAAGAAGAUUCUUCCACUGACAUUUAACCUUUGUUUUCUCCCACUUAGUUUGGAAAUCACUGAUAAUACUUGAGUAGUCAUCAAAAAAUCAAAUUAUACUACAUGGCAAAACUAAUUGUCUCCUAAAAUGAAUAAGUAUCUCCUAAGGUAGAGUUUAUCAAGCUGAGUAAUACUAAAGAACCAGGAAUUCAAGUCACACUUGAACGAUUUAUAUUUCCUAUUUGCCAGCAAAAUGUUUUCAAAAUAAACCUCUGACAUCAGAGAGUAUAUUGUAGUGCUAUUCAAAGGCAGCAGAAUGAGGACUUAAAUUAGUACACAAUUGAAUAAGCUUAACAAACAAUUUGCUUUCAAAUUUUGUGGUGAAAAUAAUAACUCCUUUUCAUUCAAUACUAAUAUUUACCCAGUAUUAACCCUUAGAAAUAAAAGCUCAAAGUAAACAAGGAAUGAAAAAUGAAAGCAUCUAAGCACAAUGACCUCUGACUUUAAGAAAUAAAACUUAAUCUCAUGUUUAACCAUAUAGAAAAAUUAUUACAGGAUACAGUUUCUUCCCUGCUUUGUGACAUAUGAGAUAAAAUUUUAAGUGUAAGUGGUUUCAAGCAUGCGUAGAGCACUGGAGAAUAAGGAAAGUUGGUAAAAUCAUUCAGGCUUUUUUGGACUAUUACCAUCGAAGGUACUUAGACCUCAGAAAACAUUUUCUGAAGGAAUUUUAAUCUUUGGAUUUGAUUUUGCUGCUGUUGUUGUUGUUGACAGCUAAUGGAAAGUGCUUCCCUUGGUUUAAGAGGGAGAUCCUUGAUUCUUCUGUGCCUAUUUCAGUUAUCAGAAUUUUCAACAUUCAGCAGUGAAUAAUGACAUUUAACAACAGCAAUAGCUUUCAUCUAUGGACACAGCAACACUGCAGAAAGAGAUUAACAUUACUAUCAAAUCCAUGACAAAAACCAGUUUGCAGGGCAGAAAUAGAGACACAGAUGUAGAGAACAAAUGUAUGGACACCAAGAGGGGAAAGUGGCGGCGAGUGGUGGUGGUGGUAUGAACCGGGAGAUUGGGAUUGACAUGUAUACACUAAUAUGUAUGAAAUGGAUAACUAAUAAGAACCUGCUGUGUAAAAAAAUAAAAUUCUAAAAUUCAAAAAAAAAGUAAAAAAAGAAAAAAAAAAACAAACAAAAAUACCCUUUUAUACCUAAAGACAUUUACUUCUGAAGUGUCAAACUGCCAUACCAGUAGUACACAAUAAUCGCUGAACAGUCUUGUUCUGGGCUCAGUUUGAUUUAGCUAACUCUGCGGUAAAAAGAGCAUGUUCUGAAUUCACUUCAGAUACGUAAGAAGUAAAGAUAAUAAGACCUUAUAUUUUAUUUCAGAUCUCAAAAAGGAACACUGUUAAUAGAAAUGAUUUCUAAUAACUUCUGAAUACACCUAGCUGAGGCAAGUUCUUCAAUUCUUUUGCUCUACCCUGAUCAUGCAAUUAAUCUACUAAGAGGAAAGUGUGCUUAUUGUGACCCAUUUUUCAAGACAAACAGAAUCAACGCUUUUUAGAUCCAGUUAUCUAUACAAAGUUGAAAACCAGAUCAGACUUUCCCGGUGGCGCAGUGGAUAAGAAUCCUCCUGCCAACGCAGGGGACACAGGUUCAAGCCCUGGUCCAGGAAAAUCCUGCAUGUUGCGGAGCAAUUAAGGCCGGGUGCCACAACUACUGAGCCUGCUUUCUAGAGCCCAUAAGCCACAACUACUGAAGCUCACGUGCCUAGAGCCCAUGCUCUGCAAUAAGAGAAGGCACCGCAAUGAGAAGCCCAUGCACCACAACGAAGAGUAGCCCCCGCUUGCCGCAACUAGAGGAAGCCUGCGCGCAAAGACCCGACACAGCCAUAAUAAAUAAAUAAAUAAAU
Non-coding RNA from Kogia breviceps (pygmy sperm whale), 1940 nucleotides. The record is from RefSeq and is a predicted model, not a curated record. NCBI's taxonomy places the organism in Eukaryota, Metazoa, Chordata, Mammalia, Artiodactyla, Physeteridae.